UGUUUUCAAAGUGUGCCAGAACGCGCUUUUUAUAACUACUUAGGGUCAUAAAAAUGAUCUCGUCUCAAUGAUGCCUGGGAGCCUCUCUAUGGCUCGCCGGCCAUCUGAACUCCUCACUCCUCACUCCUCACCUGAACACUCGUCGAGGUGUGAGCUGAUCACUUUUCAAGAUGUCAAUUUUUACAUUCGAUUAUUCAACAAUCUUGACCGCGUAAAAGGAGAUAAACUAUUGCAUUCGUUCAGUUCUUCGCGGAGAGCUAACCUAUAACGAAGAGUCACUACAAAGUCAGUAACGGAGGAAACUGAACAACGACGUCCAACGGAAAAAUGAAGGACCUUGUCUUGUUUUUGAUAACUUUGGCUCUGGCCAAGUCACUUCCACUCGAGACCGAUCAGAACACCGAAGUCGCGCUGAACGAGGACGAGAAGAUUGAUACAGCUGAUAAGCUUGAAAUUGCUAAAAGAGGUUCUUGUGAAGAAGGUA
Molecule: non-coding RNA, 484 nt
Organism: Pocillopora verrucosa
Lineage: Eukaryota; Metazoa; Cnidaria; Anthozoa; Scleractinia; Pocilloporidae
Source: RefSeq, a predicted model, not a curated record